UAAAGGUUUACAGGAAUAAAUCAAAAUAAAAUGUCAUACAACACAUGCAAUACAUGUCCGUAACCAAUAAAUAUAAAAUUAUUCCUGUAUAAAUUCAUAAAUACCUAAUGAUUCUGAACAUCAGAAGUAACCAUCGUAAGACACUAACAAUAUAAAAUGAUAGAUUAACUCUUUUAAAAAUACAAAAGAGAGACAGCAACACUAAGAAUUAGCUUGAACUCCAAUGAUCAGACUNNNNN
Molecule: long non-coding RNA, 239 nt
Filed under: Trifolium pratense (red clover)
Lineage: Eukaryota; Viridiplantae; Streptophyta; Magnoliopsida; Fabales; Fabaceae
Description: long non-coding RNA (TPRA_LNC006177)
Source: RNAcentral